This 491-nucleotide ribosomal RNA is filed under the name uncultured bacterium. RNAcentral's name for it is "partial 16S ribosomal RNA". It matches the Rfam family "Bacterial small subunit ribosomal RNA", at positions 29 to 507 of the family's 1533-position model. The record is from RNAcentral.
AGUGAACGCUGGCGGUAGGCCUAACACAUGCAAGUCGAACGGCAGCACAGUAAGAGCUUGCUCUUACGGGUGGCGAGUGGCGGACGGGUGAGGAAUACAUCGGAAUCUACUUUUUCGUGGGGGAUAACGUAGGGAAACUUACGCUAAUACCGCAUACGACCUACGGGUGAAAGCAGGGGAUCUUCGGACCUUGCGCGAUUGAAUGAGCCGAUGUCGGAUUAGCUAGUUGGCGGGGUAAAGGCCCACCAAGGCGACGAUCCGUAGCUGGUCUGAGAGGAUGAUAGGCACAAUGGAAAUGGAGAACGGUCCAAACUCCUUAGGGAGGGAGCAGUGGGGAAAUAUGGGCAAAUGGGGGAAGCCUGGUCCAACCAAUCCGGGUUGGGUGAAGAAGCCUUUGGGUUGCUAAAGCCUUUUGGUGGGGAAAAAAAAGAAGCAGGUUAAUCCCCCGUGGUUUUGAGGGACCCAAAAGAAAAACAACGGCUAACUUCGGU